This is a long non-coding RNA of Mytilus californianus (California mussel), 246 nucleotides long. RefSeq lists it as uncharacterized. The record is from RefSeq and is a predicted model, not a curated record. Lineage: Eukaryota; Metazoa; Mollusca; Bivalvia; Mytilida; Mytilidae. The transcript is spliced from 3 exons.
GAGCUCAGUUUAUUGUUAUGCAUUUCAUUCUUUGUGAAAUAAAGAUUUGACAGACAACUCUCAUCUGCCUAAGGAGUUGUCAAAGUAGUAUCUAUUCUCUGUACAAUCAAACGUGUGUAUCUGUGGUACAGGAUGCAGCGGGAAAUGUUGUCAAUGUGGAGACGCCUGCAAAUGUGCAAGUGGCUGUGGAUGUUCCGGGUGUAAAGUUGUUUGCAAUUGUUCAGGUACUUGUGUGUGUGGAUGUGA